GAAAAAGUAUGCAAGAACUGCUAAUUCAUGCUUCCGUGUGUAAAUACACGGCUCUUUCA
This 59-nucleotide transfer RNA is filed under the name Phataginus tricuspis (Tree pangolin). Its description in RNAcentral is "Manis tricuspis (Tree pangolin) tRNA-Ser". Lineage: Eukaryota; Metazoa; Chordata; Mammalia; Pholidota; Manidae. The record is from RNAcentral.